GGCCAGGCUGGUCUCGAGCUCCUGACCUCAAAUGAUUCACCCACCUCGGCCUCCCAAAGUGUUGGGAUUACAGGCAUGAGCCAACAUGCCAGGCCCAAAUUUCCUUUUAAAGACAGGAUUGAUGACAAUGGCAAAUACUAUUUGUGAAAACAUUCCCAGGUUUCCUGUAAUCUACUUUUGCUUUCUCUGUUAAAAGAAUUGGAUGAGGAUGGGAUUGGCCUACAGCACAGGUGCAAAGCAAGUAGCUCCAAAAUAAACACAAACUAUCUCAGUAUUCCUCACACUCAGUAGAAGUGUGGAAUAAUGAUGUAAGCAUAGGUGAUAAUGAAAACUCUUGACAACUGUUUAUCUGGUGAAAGGAGAGAUAGGCAAAAUUUCCUCACCUUUUGACUACACACGAUUUACACAAUUAGAGAGAACACGUUCCAUCUUCCCUCACCAAUAAAAAGUUAUUAGUGGUGAAUUUGUUGAACUAGAACGUCACAUUGUAGGUUAUUUAAAAAUAAAAAGUGGGUAUCAAUAGAUUGAUUGGCUGCUCAUCCAUUCAUUGAUUCUUUUAUCACACAUGUAUUGAGAGUCCACUCUGCCAGGCUUUCUGUUCUAGCUCUGAGGAUUCAGCAGUAGAGAGACAGGCAAGGUCAUGGCCCUCAUGGAGCUUACAUCCUUUUAAGGUAGAGAAAGAUAGGUAAAUAAGUAGGCAAUAAUUGAACAUAUUAUGCCAGACUGAGAUAACAGCGGUGAAGGAAGUAGGGUAGAAUACCAGGAACCGUGUGGGUUGAGAGGUGAGGGAUUCUAUUAUAAAAAGAACAGUCCCACAUCAUCCAAAGGAACCAGCCAAGCAUGAGGAGAAACAGCAACCCCAAUGGCCACGAAAUGGGAGGAGCUUGGUGUGUUGGAAGAACCAGGCCAGCAUGUCUGGAGCAGUGAGAAAAGAGUGGAAUAAGACAAGUUGGAGAGGUUGGCUGCAGUCAGAUCCAUCUAUUCAUCUGUCCAUCUGCCUAUAUUUAGCCCCUGUCCAUUUAUUUAUCUACUCCCCCCAUCAAAAAUCAUUUGGGACAACUUAUAAAAAUACACAAGAUAAAAUAGACAAAUGAGAGAAGGGGAGGCCAACUGGAAAAAUAAAGUUCGGAGAAGAUUAACAUGUAAACACAUGUCAUGAUACCUGCAGUUAUGAAAAGUAGUCUGAAAAGUCAGUUCUGAGUUUCUCAGUGCUCAAAACAAACGAAAAAUGCCAUCAGAUAUGUGAUUCAUAGUGUUCAUGAGAUAAAAAUAAAUUAUUUUCUUAGAAGAAACAUUUCACCCCGUCCUGAGAGUUGAGAGAAACUUCUUUAUGGCAUCCGUGGUGGUUCUGUAUUGUGUCAGCUUGGCUCAGUGGAACCACUGUUCCCAGGACCCCCUUCCCUCUGUGGCUCUGGGCAGAAUUGGCUGAAAGAGGAAAUGGUGGAAGAUUGAGAAGGCAGAAGUGAAUCAACAGUGAUUUUCUGCAGGUUAGCAGAGAUAGAUGUAGUUGAGGAAGAGACACAGAGAUGCCAGUAGGUUCCAACUUAUUUUUGCUCUCCUCUCUCUCUGCAUCUGGCUCUUCGUGCCUGAAGACAAGAGCAAACCCACCUUACUACCAGGUGCAGCAGCAACAGCCUUCGGUAGUGUCUCCAUGCCAGCCUCUAGCAUCUAGAUGUUCCCAGCUUUCUACAGGGCCCUGUAAGCUCCCACUCUCCCCCUCUGCCAGUGUCACAGGAGGGUCGGUUAGUGACACGUCCCUGAUCUUUCAACCUCCUGCCUCCCUCAACCGUGUAAUGUCCAAAUCCUAUAAUAGAUCCCUCAAUCUAUGAUGCUUAUCAUGGUUCUGCUUCCCAUUUCAAACCCUGGCUGAGACGUGGUCUCAUGAGGGGACAUUGCGUGGUGUGGUGAAAGUCACCCCACAAUGUCCCCACGGUAAACAUAAAAUAGCUGUGAAUUUCUCUUAGAGAGCUGAGGACACGAGCAAAAGUGGAUUGUCUGCCAGGCUGAAGAGACCCCAAGGUGAACAGAAAAGGAUGGAAGCUGCUAUCUGGCCUGCCAGCCUUUCUCAUAUUCCUUUAGGACCACCUACCAUGACAGUUCCAAACUCAGCCGCAGGCAGCCAUCAGACAGAGCUACUGUGGAACUCAAGGCACCCUGGGUGAGACAAUUCGUUAUUUGUACAUCUUUCUGUCAUCCGUGGGGACUGACUCGCCUCCUGAAAAUAUGGCUGAAAUGAGUCUGACACUGUAAAGAGGCAGCAGCAACAGCAGUGGAUUCGAAGAGCUCCAGAAGUGCAAAUUGAGCAUUUCGCAGAUGUUCCAAUAAAGGCAAACUGGCUGUGGCAUUUUUCACUUGAAUGAUUCUGCUUCAUGCAACAUCAGGAUGAGCACGCGGAGGCUGCUUUGCAUUAGAAAGUAAACAUACGUAUGCACAAUUGCACACCACACAGUGGUUUGUGUGGGUGGAGGAGAAUGUGCUUUUAAGGAAUAAUCUCUCCUCUUCAGAAAACCAACCGCUUUAUAUGUUUAUUGGCCAGAUUUUCUUUGGUGGUGUUUUAAUGGCUUGUUUGUCAGACAUGUCGCAUAUUAAACUAGCAAAGCCUGGAUUCUCUUAGGAUCCAAGGUCCUCUUUAUUCUCUCCUCCAUAUUGGAAAUCAUUCCUGUCAGCUCGUGCUCUCCAAGCUGCCUGGAAGAACUUUGGCAUAGUUUUCCUAACCUUUCAAACAGUAAAAGCAAAACUCUCCUUUGAUAAAAAAGCCGGAGGACUUUGGCAUGUAGCCAUAAAGGAUGCAGGCGACUCGGCUGCGAUCUGACAGAAUAAUCCACAAAACACUGAAAAGUUCUCGUUAAGGUCCCCAGAGUGGGCUGAGGCACUUUACUUGUACUUAACAUAUAUCAACUGUCACCCGGCGGCAGUCAGUGUUGAACUGAACACAAUGGAACAUCCAGAUGGUCUAAACAAAGCGAACAAAUGUUCACUGCUAUUAAAAGCUGUUUACAUCAACUUCCAGGAUUUCAUGUAGUGAAGUUUAUAUUGUGUCACUACUGAGGUGCUUAGCUCUGUCUGCAUCGAAGACCGGCCUUUUAAAAACUCCUGUUGCUUGUAUGCUCAUGCUCUCAGCACCUAGUGGAAAGCAAAGUUGAAUAAUAAAUCAGGAAAUUGCAUAAUGUCAAAUAGUCAUGCAAUUUCAGACAUUUUAAGUGAUUUGCCCCCAUUCUGUUAUAUUGGUUGUCUAUUGCAGCCUCAGCUCCAGACCCAAUAAACACAAAGCAGACCCUUUUCUCUGAUGGGGGUGUGUCAUGGAUGGAUGGAUAGAUGGGUGACCGCUAUCUGCCUCUGCAGACAGGGCCUCCGAGUCUUGUUGGCUCCGCACUGGGGAUGUUUACGCAGUAAUGGUUUUGUUUUCUUCCUCCAAGAUGCGGCGAUAUCAGGUCCUGUCUUAUUGGGGAUUAAUAUACAUGAGCGAUAAACCCACACUUUUUCUGUCUUCUUCCUUUGACCUCUUUAUGGCAUCUCUUUUACAAAUUCCAGACACACUGCCUACAUUGUUAAAGAUUUGUUGUUGCCAUUAAUAACAAUACUCAUAUAAAAGGUGUCCAGCUUAUUUAUUGUUAAAGAAAAAUCUACAAAAACUGUCACUCUUUAUUAAUCACUACCAAUUCCUCUUGGCAUAACAUAGCUAAACAAAUAAGUAAAUACUAAAAGAAUACUAUUUAUUAAUUUGCUCUACAAUUCAUAGUAUAACAAAAUAGAAAAGACCCUCAUACAUGCAAGUUCAUUACUUAAUUAAAAUAAUUAUUUUCUAUAUAAACAUCAUUUUAGCCAGGCACGGUGGCUCAAGCCUGUAAUC
Molecule: long non-coding RNA, 3850 nt
Organism: Rhinopithecus roxellana (golden snub-nosed monkey)
Lineage: Eukaryota; Metazoa; Chordata; Mammalia; Primates; Cercopithecidae
Exons: 4
Source: RefSeq, a predicted model, not a curated record